This 497-nucleotide ribosomal RNA is filed under the name uncultured bacterium. RNAcentral describes it as "partial 16S ribosomal RNA". It matches the Rfam family "Bacterial small subunit ribosomal RNA", at positions 28 to 507 of the family's 1533-position model. The record is from RNAcentral.
GAUGAACGCUGGCGGCGUGCCUAAUACAUGCAAGUCGAGCGAACGGACGAGAAGCUUGCUUCUCUGAUGUUAGCGGCGGACGGGUGAGUAACACGUGGAUAACCUACCUAUAAGACUGGGAUAACUUCGGGAAACCGGAGCUAAUACCGGAUAAUAUUUUGAACCGCAUGGUUCAAAAGUGAAAGACGGUCUUGCUGUCACUUAUAGAUGGAUCCGCGCUGCAUUAGCUAGUUGGUAAGGUAACGGCUUACCAAGGCAACGAUGCAUAGCCGACCGGAGAGGGUGAUCGGCCACACUGGAACUGAGACACGGUCCAGACUCCUACGGGGGGCAGCAGUAGGGAAUCUUCCGCAAUGGGCGAAAGCCUGACGGAGCAACGCCGCGUGAGUGAUGAAGGUCUUCGGAUCGUAAAACUCUGUUAUUAGGGAAGAACAUAUGUGUAAGUAACUGUGCACAUCUUGACGGUACCUAAUCAGAAAGCCACGGCUAACUACGUG